GUGCAAUGGCAUAAGCCAGCUUGACUGCGAGCGUGACGGCGCGAGCAGGUGCGAAAGCAGGUCAUAGUGAUCCGGUGGUUCUGAAUGGAAGGGCCAUCGCUCAACGGAUAAAAGGUACUCCGGGGAUAACAGGCUGAUACCGCCCAAGAGUUCAUAUCGACGGCGGUGUUUGGCACCUCGAUGUCGGCUCAUCACAUCCUGGGGCUGAAGUAGGUCCCAAGGGUAUGGCUGUUCGCCAUUUAAAGUGGUACGCGAGCUGGGUUUAGAACGUCGUGAGACAGUUCGGUCCCUAUCUGCCGUGGGCGCUGGAGAACUGAGGGGGGCUGCUCCUAGUACGAGAGGACCGGAGUGGACGCAUCACUGGUGUUCGGGUUGUCAUGCCAAUGGCACUGCCCGGUAGCUAAAUGCGGAAGAGAUAAGUGCUGAAAGCAUCUAAGCACGAAACUUGCCCCGAGAUGAGUUCUCCCUGAGACUUAAAGUCUCCUGAAGGAACGUUGAAGACGACGACGUU
Molecule: ribosomal RNA, 511 nt
Filed under: Salmonella enterica
Lineage: Bacteria; Pseudomonadati; Pseudomonadota; Gammaproteobacteria; Enterobacterales; Enterobacteriaceae
Description: partial 23S ribosomal RNA
Rfam family: Bacterial large subunit ribosomal RNA
Source: RNAcentral